RNAcentral lists this ribosomal RNA (515 nucleotides) under uncultured bacterium. RNAcentral's name for it is "partial 16S ribosomal RNA". It matches the Rfam family "Bacterial small subunit ribosomal RNA", at positions 28 to 523 of the family's 1533-position model. The record is from RNAcentral.
GAUGAACGCUGGCGGCGUGCCUAAUACAUGCAAGUCGAGCGAAUGGAUUAAGAGCUUGCUCUUAUGAAGUUAGCGGCGGACGGGUGAGUAACACGUGGGUAACCUGCCCAUAAGACUGGGAUAACUCCGGGAAACCGGGGCUAAUACCGAAUAACAUUUUGAACCGCAUGGUUCGAAAUUGAAAGGCGGCUUCGGCUGUCACUUAUGGCUGGACCCGCGUCGCAUUAGCUAGUUGGUGAGGUAACGGCUCACCAAGGCAACGAUGCGUAGCCGACCUGAGAGGGUGAUCGGCCACACUGGGACUGAGACACGGCCCAGACUCCUACGGGAGGCAGCAAUAGGGAAUCUUCCGCAAUGGACGAAAGUCUGACGGAGCAACGCCGCGUGAGUGAUGAAGGCUUUCGGGUCGUAAAACUCUGUUGUUAGGGAAGAACAAGUGCUAGUUGAAUAAGCUGGCACCUUGACGGUACCUAACCAGAAAGCCACGGCUAACUACGUGCCAGCCGCCGCCGUAA